CAAAAAUUUGAUCAGGUGUGUAAUGAGUUGCUGAACAUCGGGGUGAAGAUGGAGGAGGAAGAUAAGUCGUUACUACUGCUAUGCUCGUUGCCCUGUUCCUCUGAUCCAUUGAUGAUGACGCUGCUCUACGGCAAGGAGAUCCUAGAGUAUGAAGACAUGAUCUCGAUGCUAGGGUCCAAUGAACAGCUGGAGGAGUUGACCAAAGAAGGUGCUCCCUCGGAGGGCUUGGCCGCAAGGGAGAGAUCAGGAAGAGGAAGAAAAAUAGGCAAGUCAAGGGGAUGGUCAAAG
RNAcentral lists this long non-coding RNA (288 nucleotides) under Elaeis guineensis (African oil palm). RNAcentral's name for it is "long non-coding RNA (EGUI_LNC033368)". Lineage: Eukaryota; Viridiplantae; Streptophyta; Magnoliopsida; Arecales; Arecaceae. The record is from RNAcentral.